UGAGGAAUAUUGGUCAAUGGACGAGAGUCUGAACCAGCCAAGUAGCGUGCAGGAUGACGGCCCUAUGGGUUGUAAACUGCUUUUGUUUGGGAAUAAUCAACAUUACGUGUAAUGUUUUGCAUGUACCAUUCGAAUAAGGACCGGCUAAUUCCGUGCCAGCAGCCGCGGUAAUACGGAAGGUCCAGGCGUUAUCCGGAUUUAUUGGGUUUAAAGGGAGCGUAGGCUGUUUGUUAAGCGUGUUGUGAAAUGUAAGAGCUCAACUUUUAGAUUGCAGCGCGAACUGGCAGACUUGAGUGCGCACAACGUAGGCGGAAUUCAUGGUGUAGCGGUGAAAUGCUUAGAUAUCAUGACGAACUCCGAUUGCGAAGGCAACUUACGGGAGCGCAACUGACGCUAAAGCUCGAAGGUGCGGGUAUCGAACAGG
This 424-nucleotide ribosomal RNA is filed under the name Verrucomicrobiota bacterium. Its description in RNAcentral is "Verrucomicrobia bacterium partial 16S ribosomal RNA". It matches the Rfam family "Bacterial small subunit ribosomal RNA", at positions 355 to 776 of the family's 1533-position model. The record is from RNAcentral. Lineage: Bacteria; Pseudomonadati; Verrucomicrobiota.